GGAAGUAAUCAUUGUAACUAAUUAUAGUAGCCUAUUGUGCAGUGAUUAAAUAAUAUGCGGAAGCCAAGCGGCCUUCUGCCUUUCAGAUGCCACCACAUAUAUAAUACAGAGCCACAUAUCCCUGGGUCAUGAAAAAAUUACAUCUGCAAAUGCUCGCUACAAAACAUAGCUAUGGGCGUGGGAUGCAACGGAUGUCAGCUGGUAUCUGUGGCGGCCUGCAGAGAUGUGCCAUUUUGGCAGUAGCCCUACCCCUUUUCAUCAGUGGGAGCCCAUGACCUUGCUCACAGGGAAUGACAUGAAUAUAAUGGAGAUCCUGAGCUGCUGCCCCUUUUGUCAGGUGUUCUACAGAGUACUUAUAUGUCC
Molecule: long non-coding RNA, 363 nt
Filed under: Setaria viridis
Lineage: Eukaryota; Viridiplantae; Streptophyta; Magnoliopsida; Poales; Poaceae
Description: long non-coding RNA (SVIR_LNC001431)
Source: RNAcentral